CCUACGAGCGGCAGCAGUGAGGAAUAUUGGUCAAUGGGCGGGAGCCUGAACCAGCCAAGUCGCGUGAGGGAAGACGGUCCUACGGAUUGUAAACCUCUUUUGCCGGGGAGCAACGGGGUCCUUGCGAGGGCCCGAUGAGAGUACCCGGAGAAAAAGCAUCGGCUAACUCCGUGCCAGCAGCCGCGGUAAUACGGGGGAUGCGAGCGUUAUCCGGAUUUAGUGGGUUUAAAGGGUGCGUAGGCGGGCUGUUAAGUCAGCGGUCAAAGGUCGGGGGUCAACCCCGGCCGGCCGUUAAAACUGGCGGCCUGGAGUGGGCGAGAAGUAUGCGGAAGGCGUGGUGGAGCGGUGAAAUGCAUAGAUAUCGCGCAGAACUCCGGUUGCGAAGGCAGCAUACCGGCGCCCGACUGACGCUGAGGCACGAAAGCGUGGGUAUCGAACAGGAUUAGAUACCCUUGUAGUC
Molecule: ribosomal RNA, 460 nt
Filed under: uncultured bacterium
Lineage: Bacteria
Description: partial 16S ribosomal RNA
Rfam family: Bacterial small subunit ribosomal RNA
Source: RNAcentral